This 748-nucleotide ribosomal RNA is filed under the name uncultured cyanobacterium. RNAcentral's name for it is "bacterial SSU rRNA". It matches the Rfam family "Bacterial small subunit ribosomal RNA", at positions 8 to 796 of the family's 1533-position model. The record is from RNAcentral. Lineage: Bacteria; Bacillati; Cyanobacteriota.
AGAGUUUGAUCCUGGCUCAGGAUGAACGCUGGCGGUCUGCUUAACACAUGCAAGUCGAACGGGCUCUUUCGGGAGCUAGUGGCGGACGGGUGAGUAACGCGUGGGAAUCUGCCAAAAGGACUGGGACAACCACUGGAAACGGUGGCUAAUACCGGAUGAGCCGCAACGUAAAAGAGGAAACUCGCCUUUUGAGGAGCUCGCGUCUGAUUAGCUAGUUGGUGAGGUAAGAGCUCACCAAGGCAUCGAUCAGUAGCUGGUCUGAGAGGAUGAUCAGCCACACUGGGACUGAGACACGGCCCAGACUCCUACGGGAGGCAGCAGUGGGGAAUUUUCCGCAAUGGGCGAAAGCCUGACGGAGCAAGACCGCGUGAGGGAGGAAGGCUCUUGGGUUGUAAACCUCUUUUGUCAGGGAAGAACACAAUGACGGUACCUGAAGAACCAGCAUCGGCUAACUCCGUGCCAGCAGCCGCGGUAAUACGGGGGAUGCAAGCGUUAUCCGGAAUUAUUGGGCGUAAAGCGUCCGCAGGUGGCUAAUCAAGUCUGCUGUCAAAGGUUGGGGCUUAACCCCAAAAAGGCAGUGGAAACUGAGAAGCUAGAGUGCAGUAGGGGUAGAGGGAAUUCCCGGUGUAGCGGUGAAAUGCGUAGAGAUCGGGAAGAACAUCGGUGGCGAAAGCGCUCUACUGGACUGCAACUGACACUCAGGGACGAAAGCUAGGGGAGCGAAUGGGAUUAGAUACCCCCGUAGUCC